This 896-nucleotide ribosomal RNA is filed under the name Niesslia mucida. RNAcentral's name for it is "partial large subunit ribosomal RNA". It matches the Rfam family "Eukaryotic large subunit ribosomal RNA", at positions 38 to 964 of the family's 3401-position model. The record is from RNAcentral. Lineage: Eukaryota; Fungi; Ascomycota; Sordariomycetes; Hypocreales; Niessliaceae.
GCAUAUCAAUAAGCGGAGGAAAAGAAACCAACAGGGAUUGCCCCAGUAACGGCGAGUGAAGCGGCAACAGCUCAAAUUUGAAAUCUGGUCCCCAGGGCCCGAGUUGUAAUUUGUAGAGGAUGCUUUUGGCGAGGUGCCUUCCGAGUUCCCUGGAACGGGACGCCAUAGAGGGUGAGAGCCCCGUCUGGUUGGAUACCAAGCCUCUGUAAAGCUCCUUCGACGAGUCGAGUAGUUUGGGAAUGCUGCUCUAAAUGGGAGGUAUAUGUCUUCUAAAGCUAAAUACCGGCCAGAGACCGAUAGCGCACAAGUAGAGUGAUCGAAAGAUGAAAAGCACUUUGAAAAGAGGGUUAAAUAGUACGUGAAAUUGUUGAAAGGGAAGCGUUUGUGACCAGACUUGGGCCCGGUUAAUCAUCCAGCGUUCUCGCUGGUGCACUUUGCCGGCCCAGGCCAGCAUCAGUUCGCGCCGGGGGAUAAAGGCUUCGGGAAUGUGGCUCCUCCGGGAGUGUUAUAGCCCGCUGCGUAAUACCCUGGUGCGGACUGAGGUUCGCGCUCCGCAAGGAUGCUGGCGUAAUGGUCAUCAGCGACCCGUCUUGAAACACGGACCAAGGAGUCGUCUUCGUAUGCGAGUGUUCGGGUGUCAAACCCCUACGCGUAAUGAAAGUGAACGUAGGUGAGAGCUUCGGCGCAUCAUCGACCGAUCCUGAUGUUCUCGGAUGGAUUUGAGUAAGAGCAUACGGGGCCGGACCCGAAAGAAGGUGAACUAUGCCUGUAUAGGGUGAAGCCAGAGGAAACUCUGGUGGAGGCUCGCAGCGGUUCUGACGUGCAAAUCGAUCGUCAAAUAUGGGCAUGGGGGGCGAAAGACUAAUCGAACCUUCUAGUAGCUGGGUUUCCGCCGA